GUGCCAGCAGCCGCGGUAAUACGUAGGGGGCAAGCGUUGUCCGGAUUUAUUGGGCGUAAAGAGCUCGUAGGCGGCUUGGCAAGUCGGGUGUGAAAACUUCAGGCUCAACCUGGAGCGGCCACUCGAUACUGCCAUGGCUUGAGUCCGGUAGGGGACCACGGAAUUCCUGGUGUAGCGGUGAAAUGCGCAGAUAUCAGGAGGAACACCAGUGGCGAAGGCGGUGGUCUGGGCCGGAACUGACGCUGAGGAGCGAAAGCGUGGGUAGCAAACAGGAUUAGAUACCCUGGUAGUCC
This 293-nucleotide ribosomal RNA is filed under the name uncultured bacterium. RNAcentral's name for it is "partial 16S ribosomal RNA". It matches the Rfam family "Bacterial small subunit ribosomal RNA", at positions 505 to 796 of the family's 1533-position model. The record is from RNAcentral.